Molecule: ribosomal RNA, 495 nt
Filed under: uncultured bacterium
Lineage: Bacteria
Description: partial 16S ribosomal RNA
Rfam family: Bacterial small subunit ribosomal RNA
Source: RNAcentral
UGAACGCUGGCGGCGUGCCUACUACAUGCAAGUCGAGCGAACGGACGAGAAGCUUGCUUCUCUGAUGUUAGCGGCGGACGGGUGAGUAACACGUGGAUAACCUACCUAUAAGACUGGGAUAACUUCGGGAAACCGGAGCUAAUACCGGAUGAUAUUUUGAACCGCAUGGUUCAAAAGUGAAAGACGGUCUUGCUGUCACUUAUAGAUGGAUCCGCGCUGCAUUAGCUAGUUGGUAAGGUAACGGCUUACCAAGGCAACGAUGCAUAGCCGACCUGAGAGGGUGAUCGGCCACACUGGAACUGAGACACGGUCCAGACUCCUACGGGAGGCAGCAGUAGGGAAUCUUCCGCAAUGGGCGAAAGCCUGACGGAGCAACGCCGCGUGAGUGAUGAAGGUCUUCGGAUCGUAAAACUCUGUUAUUAGGGAAGAACAUAUGUGUAAGUAACUGUGCACAUCUUGACGGUACCUAAUCAGAAAGCCACGGCUAACUACGUG